This 301-nucleotide ribosomal RNA is filed under the name uncultured bacterium. Its description in RNAcentral is "partial 16S ribosomal RNA". It matches the Rfam family "Bacterial small subunit ribosomal RNA", at positions 509 to 809 of the family's 1533-position model. The record is from RNAcentral.
CAGCCGCCGCGGUAAUACAGAGGGUGCAAGCGUUAAUCGGAUUUACUGGGCGUAAAGCGUGCGUAGGUGGCUGUUUAAGUCGGAUGUGAAAGCCCUGGGCUUAACCUGGGAACUGCAUUCGAUACUGGAUAGCUAGAGAUCGGUAGAGGGCAGCGGAAUUCCGGGUGUAGCGGUGAAAUGCGUAGAUAUCCGGAGGAACACCGAUGGCGAAGGCAACUGCCUGGGCCUGAUCUGACACUGAGGCACGAAAGCGUGGGUAGCAAACAGGAUUAGAUACCCCCGUAGUCCCUGUCUCUUAUAA